RNAcentral lists this ribosomal RNA (192 nucleotides) under Longidorus arthensis. Its description in RNAcentral is "partial 18S ribosomal RNA". It matches the Rfam family "Eukaryotic small subunit ribosomal RNA", at positions 1642 to 1831 of the family's 1831-position model. Lineage: Eukaryota; Metazoa; Nematoda; Enoplea; Dorylaimida; Longidoridae. The record is from RNAcentral.
UGAUUACGUCCCUGCCCUUUGUACACACCGCCCGUCGCUACUACCGAUUGGAUGACUUAGUGAGGUCUUAGGACCGAAGUAAUGGAGCUUUUAUUAGUUCUUUUGCUUUGGAAAUUUGAUCGAACUACGUUAUCUAGAGGAAGUAAAAGUCGUAACAAGGUUUCCGUAGGUGAACCUGCGGAAGGAUCAUUA